This is a long non-coding RNA of Eptesicus fuscus (big brown bat), 283 nucleotides long. RefSeq lists it as uncharacterized. NCBI's taxonomy places the organism in Eukaryota, Metazoa, Chordata, Mammalia, Chiroptera, Vespertilionidae. The transcript is spliced from 3 exons. The record is from RefSeq and is a predicted model, not a curated record.
CCAAGGAAUCUCAGGCUAUCUUCUUUGAAGAUGGAGAUGGGAGAUGGGAACAAAUGAGACCACAAGAAAGAGAAGGGGGGCGCAUUCUAACAUUCCAUGUCUGUGAACGCACCAAGCACUUUACAGACGUCGUUUCACGUAAUCCUCCCCAGAUCUUGCAAUGGGAGGCAUAUUCCCAUCUUACAGCUGAGGAAGCAGCGGCUGAGAGAGGCAGAUAAGAAUGAAGCGAACAACAGUAGUAUCACUGCCAACACCGCCAUGUGAUUUCGAGGAAGUGCUUUCA